This is a non-coding RNA of Paramuricea clavata, 985 nucleotides long. NCBI's taxonomy places the organism in Eukaryota, Metazoa, Cnidaria, Anthozoa, Malacalcyonacea, Plexauridae. The record is from the annotation of a GenBank genome assembly.
AAUCUCGUGCGCCAGCCAUUUUUAGUUUGUGGGAAAAGACACCCCACCCCCUGGUUUACAAAAUUUGAGUUCGAGAAAUUUUUUUAUUAUUCUACAUUAUAAGUACCCAAAGAAGCUGUAUAUAUCAAAAACUGGAUACUAAUAGCUGUUUUGCGAAAUUGAGAGCAAUUUCAAAUCUGUUCAGUUUUUUUUAUACAUCCUGUAUAGCUGGAAGGCUCCCGAUGGAGAUCAAUAGGAUAAUUAACGACCUUCGCUAUGUGCGGAGGGGGGUUCGAAUAGGUAAUGACGCGCGCACUAUAUGUAGCUGGAACACUUCUAAACUACGCCAAAGGAAUAUUGAAGUAGAAAUUUGUAGAAAAGAAUAUUGUAAAACCUUGGUUAAUCCACAUAUUCCUACGUGUUGCCGCAUUACCCACCCACGUACGAUUUGAUUUCUUUAAUCCCCUCCCAUGCACAAAUGUGGGAUCAACCACAAAUUUGAUAAUCCGUAGCUUGGACGUCAAGACCAUACUUGAACUUUUUAGAACGCCUACUCUAGUAAAAACAUGCAAUAACUUUGGUAUACACGUACGCUUACUCAUGCAGUAUGAAAAUGUAGUUUCAAAACCCAUAUUUUGAGAAUGCUUUGAAACGUUUCCUGAUUAAAUAUUAUUACUACCUUGGUUACUACUUGUGUACUGUAAAAUUAAACAUGUGUACUGUAAAAUGUCUGUAUAUAUUGUGUGUGUAAUGUCUAUGUCAGGUUCUCUGUUGAAACUGAUUAUUUGUAAUCAUAUAUAAUAAAUUUUGCAUGGCAAUGGAACACAAAUACGAACGUCACACGGACAUCACCUGGGAUGGUGUGGAAAAUUAUAAUUAGAUUAUAAAGACCACAAAAUAGGAACAAAAUAUCUGUAAACGUGUUUCACUUGCGCAAGGGAAAUUUGUGAUAGAGAAAAUAUGUCAGUUUCUGUUUUGCCAGUAUAAAUAUGGGCUGAAACGUGGG